This 465-nucleotide ribosomal RNA is filed under the name uncultured bacterium. RNAcentral's name for it is "partial 16S ribosomal RNA". It matches the Rfam family "Bacterial small subunit ribosomal RNA", at positions 338 to 795 of the family's 1533-position model. The record is from RNAcentral.
CCUACGGGAGGCAGCAGUAGGGAAUCUUCCACAAUGGGCGAAAGCCUGAUGGAGCAACGCCGCGUGGGUGAAGAAGGUCUUCGGAUCGUAAAACCCUGUUGUUAGAGAAGAAAGUGCGUGAGAGUAACUGUUCACGUUUCGACGGUAUCUAACCAGAAAGCCACGGCUAACUACGUGCCAGCAGCCGCGGUAAUACGUAGGUGGCAAGCGUUAUCCGGAUUUAUUGGGCGUAAAGGGAACGCAGGCGGUCUUUUAAGUCUGAUGUGAAAGCCUUCGGCUUAACCGGAGUAGUGCAUUGGAGACUGGGGGGCUUGAGUGCAGAAGAGGAGAGUGGAACUCCAUGUGUAGCGGUGAAAUGCGUAGAUAUAUGGAAGAACACCAGUGGCGAAAGCGGCUCUCUGGUCUGUAACUGACGCUGAGGUUCGAAAGCGUGGGUAGCAAACAGGAUUAGAUACCCCUGUAGUC